CAGACCUUUCAGUCCACAUAUAUAUAGGGCUCCAACCCACCAAGCAGCCCCUUAUAAUUGCUUUGAAUUAGGGUUAGGUUUCUCCCAGUUUCGUUCCUCCUUCGAAUCAUAGAAAAUCAAACCCUAACCCAAAGCUUCAAUCAUGUCUUCCAAGCUAGGUGGAAAAGCUAAGCCUUUGAAGGCACCAAAGUCUGAGAAGAAGGAUUACGACGAGACUGAUUUGGCCAACAUUCAAAAGAAAAAGGAUGAAGAAAAGGCACUUAAGGAGCUCAGAGCCAAGGCACAGCAGAAAGGGAGCUUUGGAGGUUCUGGGCUGAAGAAAAGUGGGAAGAAAUGAAGAUUUCAAACCCAGAUAGACAUGGUUUCCUUUAGUGUAUUCUGAACAAUAUUAUGAUGAUAUCUCGUGUUUAGUGUGAUGGUCGCUGAUGUCCUAUGCUUGAUGUGUUGGUCUUCAUCUUGAACCAGAAUUACGUGAAACUUUAUAAAUUGUGUGCAUCUGUCCUCUAUCCAUGUGCCAACAAUGUAUUUGCUGGCAUUGUUGGAAACUUUGUUCUAUGUAACUCGUUUGCAAUUUGUUGAUUGCGCUUAGUAAUAAUGGUCUCCUGGGUAAUUGAUUUA
Long non-coding RNA from Populus nigra (black poplar), 618 nucleotides. RefSeq lists it as uncharacterized. NCBI's taxonomy places the organism in Eukaryota, Viridiplantae, Streptophyta, Magnoliopsida, Malpighiales, Salicaceae. The transcript is spliced from 4 exons. The record is from RefSeq and is a predicted model, not a curated record.